CACGCCAUAAACGAUGAGAACUAGGUGUAGCGGGUAUUGACCCCUGCUGUGCCGAAGUUAACGCAUUAAGUUCUCCGCCUGGGGAGUACGGCCGCAAGGCUAAAACUCAAAGGAAUUGACGGGGACCCGCACAAGCGGUGGAGCAUGUGGUUUAAUUCGACGCAACGCGAAGAACCUUACCUGGAUUUGACAUCCUUUGACCAUCCUGGAAACAGGAUUUUCCAUGCUUGCAUGGACAGAGUGACAGGUGCUGCAUGGCUGUCGUCAGCUCGUGUCGUGAGAUGUUGGGUUAAGUCCCGCAAACGAGCGCAAACCCCUGUUUUUAGUUUGCCCUUAUUAAGUUAGGCACUCUAAAGAUACUGCCUCGGUUAACGGG
RNAcentral lists this ribosomal RNA (376 nucleotides) under uncultured bacterium. Its description in RNAcentral is "bacterial SSU rRNA". It matches the Rfam family "Bacterial small subunit ribosomal RNA", at positions 796 to 1165 of the family's 1533-position model. The record is from RNAcentral.